This 252-nucleotide ribosomal RNA is filed under the name uncultured bacterium. Its description in RNAcentral is "partial 16S ribosomal RNA". It matches the Rfam family "Bacterial small subunit ribosomal RNA", at positions 524 to 776 of the family's 1533-position model. The record is from RNAcentral.
UACGGAGGAUGCGAGCGUUAUCCGGAUUUAUUGGGUUUAAAGGGUACGCAGGCGGCACGGCAAGCCGGCGGUCAAAUCGCGGGGCUCAACCCCGCCCAGCCGUCGGAACUGCCGGGCUAGAGUGGGCGAGAAGUGCGCGGAAUGCGUGGUGUAGCGGUGAAAUGCAUAGAUAUCACGCAGAACUCCGAUUGCGAAGGCAGCGCACCGGCGCCCUACUGACGCUCAGGCACGAAAGCGUGGGUAUCGAACAGG